GUAUCCUGAAUAGCUCUUUCUUUUUCUAUGAUAUCACAUGUGUUGUUGUGACAACAACUGCCUCUCAGAUAUUUUUUUCCUUUCCUCUAGGAUUUGAAUAUUUGCAUAUCGGCCUCUAAUUCAGAGUAAACAACCCUAUUGGAGGGAGAACAAAGAGGAUGAAGAGAUCAGAGAUCUGGAGAAGGAACCUGGCCACCUGUCUUGGUAUAAAAGAAGACACAUGUGGUCCAUGGGAAAGCUCAUGGUCACUUUGCGCUCCAGAAGUGGAAAUCUAUGGGGUCUUACACCAUUUUGGUGCAUCACCGGGACUGUGCUCACUCCAGACCACAAUUGGCUAAGAGAUCAGAGGCUAACCAUCAACGAUGCUUUGUUGAGGGUCAAAUUCACCUACAAAUCUCAUCCCAGUCCAGGUAAGUACAUUUUUGUCCCUCAGUCAAAUGAGGCCAACAUUCUUUUCUGCCUACUGUCCUAGUGCCUUUGCUGAAAAACCAAAAAAAUUCUCACCCCUCCGUCCUGAGCUGGACAGUCAGUGAUGGAUAAGAGAAUGAUAUAUUCAUGAAUAAAAGGCCAAAGAGGAGGGCCAACAUUAGCUGCUGCCUUAUCCCAUGAUGGGCCCUGGCUACAAUAUUCUUUUGGCCAUGUGACAAGUAACACCCAAACCUAAGACAGUCGCAGUUUCCAAGGGGUGCAUUUCAGUACAUGCAUGGGCAUUGGUCACUUUUACAUUUGAAUGUAAGUAAGGAGGAGAUGUUUGUUGUGAUUCCCUUGAAGCCCUCCAUUUUAGAUGUUAUUAUUAUGGUUAGAAUUAAGUAUGACUGGGUUAAUGGAAAAUCCCCAGCCAGCUGCAGAAGACUAAUACAAAUCUAGUGGUCAAGAAAAUAAUAAUAUGAUAAUGUUGUCCUGCUGAUUAAUAAUAUGACAAACCUGUGAACUCUCUGGCAUCCUUUCACAUCAGAUCUAUGAAAAAACGAAUCCUGUGUUCUUGCAUUGCGUAAAUGUUUCUUAGGUCCCCCUCCCUCUGUUACCCCUCUUAUGGUAUAAAUUCAGCCUUGGAGAAAAAUAAAAUUGAUGCCUUCUUCAGACUCUUUUCUUGGCAUCCUUCUUCACAUCCUUUGUCCCACAUUCUCUUCCAGUUACCCUCAGAACCCUCACUUACACAGCAUUUGUAAUCCUUUCUCAAAAUCUACCAACAACAGAUCAGUUGUCAGUAAACUAUUUUGCC
Non-coding RNA from Rattus norvegicus (Norway rat), 1222 nucleotides. The record is from RefSeq and is a predicted model, not a curated record. Lineage: Eukaryota; Metazoa; Chordata; Mammalia; Rodentia; Muridae.